AUUUCAAUACUGGAGGAGGGUCAGUUUUAUACCUAUGUAUGCAAGGAUUCACAAUCCAUCACCACGUCGGAUCUUUGCCACACACCAGGAUCCCAGGUGAUGAAAACGGAAGGACAAGGACAUUAUAAACUACGGCCUCAAUUUGCACUCGAUGUAGACCUUCAAGAGUUGAAAUCGGGACCAUGCAUGGGACACCAGGGCAGAACGGGAAACUUAAUCUUUGGAGGCACGUAGAAGGGACAAUAAUAAAGAUAAUCUGAUGGA
This is a non-coding RNA of Zootermopsis nevadensis, 264 nucleotides long. The record is from RefSeq and is a predicted model, not a curated record. NCBI's taxonomy places the organism in Eukaryota, Metazoa, Arthropoda, Insecta, Blattodea, Termopsidae.